Molecule: long non-coding RNA, 601 nt
Filed under: Lathyrus oleraceus (garden pea)
Lineage: Eukaryota; Viridiplantae; Streptophyta; Magnoliopsida; Fabales; Fabaceae
Description: Pisum sativum (pea) long non-coding RNA (PSAT_LNC004327)
Source: RNAcentral
UGAUUAUGAUCAAAGCUUGGGAUUUCUGGCACAUAAAUAUGUGUAAACCCUUUAUUGGACCCAACUGUAGUUGUGGGGGAUCGGAUCGUAAUCCGCCCUACCGAGUUCAGUGCCAGGUACUUCUGAACCAACUAACAGUGAGUACUGCUUUUCUUUUUAUUUUUAUUUUUCUUUUUGUAGCAAUUUUUUACAAUUCUUUGGUUUAAAUGACUUUGUGAGGGUCACCUAUACCGGAGUUGCCUUUUUGCUUUCUUUUAUUUUUUUGUUUUUCUGGAUCAUUCACUUAUUUGCAUCGGUCCCUUACGUAGAGGAUGCGUAGGCCGGAGCUGACUGCUAGGAUAAACUACUGAGGACUUAUACGGAAAUGAUGAUUAAGGCCAUGGUAUAUGGGGUUUCGGGAUUGGUUCCUAUAUUUACGAAGUCUAUGGUGCUAAAACAGAUACUGAUGUUUCGCAAAGUUCUCCCAAGUCACCGCAUCCUUACUCAAAGCAUAUCCUUAAAACCUGAAAACUUUCGAAAUAACACUAUUUUCUUUUGCAAAAAAAUUUUUGGUGGGGCUAAAGGUAUGGGGAGGUAGGAUUGUACUAAGGAUCUACUAUAU